This 840-nucleotide long non-coding RNA is filed under the name Pan troglodytes (chimpanzee). RNAcentral describes it as "long non-coding RNA NONPTRT014809". Lineage: Eukaryota; Metazoa; Chordata; Mammalia; Primates; Hominidae. The record is from RNAcentral.
UUACACUGGAGAUCAAUACCAUGCUCAUGGAAACCUUCUGCAUGGGCUCAAAGAACCAGGAGCCAGGAGAUUCCAGGUAGACUUCAAACAUUACUGUGUCCAAAAACUCAAACACUGAUGUACUUAUUUGCGAUUUGCAACAUUCUACAUGAAGGCUCUUUCUACAUGGUAGAAAGAUGAACCCCAGCUGACCCAGCUUACCUCCUCAAAGCUUAGCAAUAUUGGUGGAAAGAAUAUUGCUCUCUCCAAAUGUACUUAUAUUAAUCCUGGAGAAGAUACCUAUUAACCCUGUUUGUCUUAUGCCAACUGUAAUUCAAUUUCUGUGCCCAGGAGAAUGAAGCAUUGUCACUGGUCAUCUUGGAUCAGGAAUUCUAAGACAAUUGAAAUUCUUAAGAUCCACACCAGAACUUCUGAGUCAGAAUAGCUGUGAAAGAGUCCCAGGAGUAUGAAUUUUUAAGAGCUGCUAACGUGAUUCUUAUUGAAGGUGUGCACAGAUUGUGUUUUGAGAAACACCACAAGCUCCAGACCUGGCUUGAACAGAAUGUUGCCUAAGAAGAGUCAGGUUUGCACCCUGACAGUCUUGGUGACUUGGAAAAUGUUUGGAUGGACUUGAAUAGACUUGGGUGGUCAAAUCUGGACUGAAUUACAUUCUUAGAUGUAUAACCAGGCAACUCACAUGUCAGUCUUCUGUGUACAGUGUGUGGAGCCUGCUUCCUGUGUCAUCCACUACUUGUUACAUCAGAUCUCAGUUUUCUGCGUUCAAUCCUUUCAUGCCGUUUCAGAUCCCUAAUGGUGCAUUUCCAAAAAUGCUACACUGUGCCUGCCCACCUAAACCCUCAC